This is a long non-coding RNA of Cucumis melo (muskmelon), 2306 nucleotides long. RefSeq lists it as uncharacterized. Lineage: Eukaryota; Viridiplantae; Streptophyta; Magnoliopsida; Cucurbitales; Cucurbitaceae. The transcript has 3 exons. The record is from RefSeq and is a predicted model, not a curated record.
AUUUAUAUUUAUUUAAAAGGAUUUAUAUUUUUGGAGUAAAAAAAUGGGUUGGAAAAGACCCUAAACCCUAAGACGCGCCCCGCCCCCCCAAUCUUCUUCUUCUUCUUCUUCUCUCCUCUUCCUUUUCGUUCAACGUCAACCAGCAGCCGUGUAUCUCCACGUCUGUCGGCCAGACCUGUCUCUGUUGUGAAGUCGGCAGCCGUGUGGUGGAGCAUUUGGCAUCGCAUCUUCGGUUCUUCUCCUGUCACUCGUUCGUCGAUCGCCGGCUGUCUCUGACCUCAGUCGAGCGCUGUCGAUCACCCUCCGACCUCGUUUGACCGUGUCUGUCGAUGCCCAGCCACCUUUCGCCUCAUCAUGUAGCCAAGCAACCGUCGACAAGCCCCCCAACGAUCGUGUAUCUCCAUUUUCGCAAGCGCCUACGCGAAGCCGAGCCGAGAAUUGAGUCGAGCCGAGCCGAGAAUUGGGCCAAGCCGAGCCGAGAAUUGAGUCGUGAGCCGAAUUGAGCCGAGCCGUGAGCUGAGAAUUGAGCCGAGCGAGCCACUCCCAAGCCAAGCCGAACUCCCUGUUCACCGAGCCACCUAAGCCAUUUUCUUUCCACGUCGGGUCACGGUGUUAGAGAAGUGGCACUCGAGUUCUUGGGGUUUCACGGCAGACUUAGUUGGAGAUAGCCCUCCUUUACUCGAGUGGAUUCGUGUGGACGUCGAAUUGAACAAGGAUUUUAGCUACAUUUCAAGUAAGGGACUUCUACUACUGGACUCAGUUUUAGAUUGGCACGUAUUGACUGAUAUGAGAAUUAUAAUAUAAUGACUGUACUGUUCGACUGUUUGUAUAAACCAAAAAGGUAUUGCCAAGUUAUGCUUUCGACUGAGUAUAAUCAUAUGACUGCUAUAUGUAGUCUAGUUAUAAUGAUGGGUUGUGCCGUCGAUUGAGUUUAGAUGUUUGGACCGUUAUGAGUGGUUUAUAUAUAUAUAUCAUCUAUAUUGAUGGGUUAUAUUAUUGGUAGAGUGUAAAUGACUUUGGCUGUUAUAUGCAGUUAUAUAUACUGAUGGGUUGUAUUGUUAAUGGAGUAGUGAUGUUUGAGCGGUCAUGUGUAGUUUGUGCAUACGGUCGGACUAUGCUGUUGAUGGAGUAUGGGUUCUGGACUAUAGUGUAUAGUUGUAUAUACUGAUGAACUGUGUUGUAGACUGAACAUAGGCGUGAUGCAUAGUUUACUUAUCUUUUUCGAGUUAAGCUGUUAAGGGGGAUAAGUAGUAACUCAAAUAAGGGUUGCACAAUAACGACUGCACUUAAGUGACUGAUGCACGUAUGCCUAGACGCACCACUAGUGUGUACUUGGUGACAUGAUUAUUAGUUGUAACUUAUAUAUAUAUGUUAAUGGGUUGUUCUGUUGAUGGAGUACGGACGCCUGGAUGUUUCAUGUGAUAUAGUUAUAUUGAUGGGUCGUGCUGUUAACCAAAAUAGUAAUGUCGUUGAAUUAUGAAAAUCUUGAUGUUAUGUAUAGUUGAAGAAUGUUGGUUGCUCAUUAUUGAGUUAUGUAGUUGAUGGACUAAGGUUCGGAAACCUCAUGUAUAGACUGUGUACUCACUGAUGGAUUGUACUGUAGAUUGAAUGGGAACGUUAAGCAAAAUAGGGACAUUAUGCAUAAUAUAGUUUAUUUGUAAUUGUGCUAGCGCUUGGACUGAGACGAAAUGAUUGUCAGGUGUAUUUACCUAGAGAUGAUUGAUUCGUUGACUGGAUUUAGAAAAGGUGACGGUAUUACGUGGAUUGGAUUUAUGUAUAGCGACUGAUGAGACUGUUGACUAAACCUAAACGGUCUGAAUGACUAAGCUUAUGAACUGAAUUGUUAGCUUGAACGAUGUUGUGAUGUGACUGUUGUAGACGGUUAAGAAUGGACUGAGGGGUAACGGUUAACUUUAUCUAUGGGGUAGUGUACCUUACAGACACGGUGUCCUUUGGGAUCAUUAGACUGAUAUGUGCGUCCUCCGGGAUCACUAGACUGAUAUAUGUGUCAUCCGAGAUCACUGGACUGAUAUGUGCGUCCUUCGGGAUCACUAGACUGAUAUGUGCAUUAUUUGGGAUCACUAGACUGAUAUGUGCAUCAUUCGUGGUCACUAGAUUGAUAUGUGCAUCCUUCGGGGUCACUAGACUGAUAUGUGCAUCCUUCGGGGUCACUCAACUGAUAUGUGCAUCCUUCGGGAUCACUCGACUGAUUGAUGUGUGCAUUCUACGAAACCACUUAAUAGGAAGCUAACCGUUAUUACCCUAACGGGCCCAGUAGUGGGUCUUUUACUGGGUAUAUUUUUAUA